Molecule: non-coding RNA, 45 nt
Organism: Schistosoma margrebowiei
Lineage: Eukaryota; Metazoa; Platyhelminthes; Trematoda; Strigeidida; Schistosomatidae
Source: Rfam
AUCCGACUGACGAGUCACAAAUAGGACGAAACGCACUUCCUGAAU